UACGUAGGGUGCAAGCGUUAAUCGGAAUUACUGGGCGUAAAGCGUGCGCAGGCGGUUGUGCAAGACAGAUGUGAAAUCCCCGGGCUUAACCUGGGAACUGCAUUUGUGACUGCACGGCUAGAGUGCGGCAGAGGGGGAUGGAAUUCCGCGUGUAGCAGUGAAAUGCGUAGAGAUGCGGAGGAACACCGAUGGCGAAGGCAGCCCCCUGGGCUAACACUGACGCUCAGGCACGAAAGCGUGGGGAGCAAACAGG
RNAcentral lists this ribosomal RNA (253 nucleotides) under uncultured bacterium. Its description in RNAcentral is "partial 16S ribosomal RNA". It matches the Rfam family "Bacterial small subunit ribosomal RNA", at positions 524 to 776 of the family's 1533-position model. The record is from RNAcentral.